Molecule: ribosomal RNA, 1481 nt
Filed under: uncultured Bordetella sp.
Lineage: Bacteria; Pseudomonadati; Pseudomonadota; Betaproteobacteria; Burkholderiales; Alcaligenaceae
Description: partial 16S-23S ribosomal RNA intergenic spacer
Rfam family: Bacterial small subunit ribosomal RNA
Source: RNAcentral
GGUUCGAUCAUGGCUCAGAUUGAACGCUGGCGGGAUGCUUUACAUGCAAGUCGAACGGCAGCACGGACUUCGGUCUGGUGGCGAGUGGCGAACAGGUGAGUAAUGUAUCGGAACGUGCCUAGUAGCGGGGGAUAACUACGCGAAAGCGCUAAUACCGCAUACGCCCUUCGAGGGAAGCGGGGGACCUUCGGGCCUCGCACUAUUAGAGCCGGCCGAUAUCGGAUUAGCUGGUUGGUGGGGUAACGGCUCACCAAGGCGACGAUCCGUAGCUGGUUUGAGAGGACGACCAGCCACACUGGGACUGGGACUGGCCGAACUCCUGCAGGAGGCAGCAGUGGGGAAUUUUGGACAAUGGAAACCCCUGGUCAGCGCUCGCGUGUGCGAUGAAGGCCUUCGGGUUGUAAAGCACUUUUGGCAGGAAAGAAACGGCACGGGAUAAUACCCCGUGCAACUGACAGUACCUGCAGAAUAAGCACCGGCCUAACUACGUGCCAGCAGCCGCGGUAAUACGUAAGUGCAAGCGUUAAUCGGAAUUACUGGGCGUAAAGCGUGCGCAGGCGGUUCGGAAAGAAGAUGUGAAAUCCCAGAGCUUAACUUUGGAACUGCAUUUUUAACUACCGAGCUAGAGUGUGUCAGAGGGAGGUGGAAUUCCGCGAUGUAGCGGUGAAAUGCGUGAAAUAUGCGGAGGAACACCGAUGCUUGAGGCAGCCUCCUGGGAUAACACUGACGCUCAUGCACGAAAGCGUGGGAGCAAACAGGAUUAGAUACCCUGGUAGUCCACUCCCUAAACGAUGUCAACUAAGCUGUUGGGGCCUUCGGGCCUUGGUAGCGCAGCUAACGCGUGAAGUUGACCGCCUGGGAAGUACGGUCGCAAGAUUAAAACUCAAAGGAAUUGACGAGGACCCGCAAGCGGUGGAUGAUGUGGAUUAAUUCGAUGCAACGCGAAAAGCCUUACCUACCCUUGACAUAUCUGGAAUCCCGAAGAGAUUUGGGAGUGCUCGCAAGAGAACCGGAACACAGGUGCUGCAUGGCUGUCGUCAGCUCGUGUCGUGAGAUGUGGGUUAAGUCCCGCAACGAGCGCAGCCACUUGUCAUUAGUUGCUACGAAAGGGCACUCUAAUGAGACUGCCGGUGACAAACCGGAGGAAGGUGGGGAUGACGUCAAGUCCUCAUGGCCCUUAUGGGUAGAGCUACACGUCAUACAAUGGUCGGGACAGAGGGUCGCCAACCCGCGAGGAGCCAAUCCCAGAAACCCGAUCGUAGUCCGGAUCGCAGUCUGCAACUCGACUGCGUGAAGUCGGAAUCGCUAGUAAUCGCGGAUCAGCAUGUCGCGGUGAAUACGUUCCGGGUCUUGUACACACCGCCCGUCACACCAUGGGAGUGGGUUUUACCAGAGUAGUUAGCCUAACCGUAAGGAGGGCGAUUACCACGGUAGGAUUCAUGACUGGGGUGAAGUCGCCAACAAGGGUAACUCUAUUUACA